GUGCAGGCCGCAUGCUAUACAUGCAGUCGAACGAACCAUCCUGAAGAUUGAAGCUUGCUUCAUGAUUCAGACCUUGGUGAGUGGCGGACGGGUGAGUAACACGUGGGUAACCUGCCCAAAAGUGGGGGAUAACAUCUGGAAACAGGUGCUAAUACCGCAUAACAACUACUUUCUCAUGAUCGUAGCUUGAAAGAUGGCUCUGCUAUCGCUUUUGGAUGGACCCGCGGCGUAUUAGCUAGUUGGUGAGGUAAUAGCUCACCAAGGCAAUGAUACGUAGCCGACCUGAGAGGGUAAUCGGCCACAUUGGGACUGAGACACGGCCCAAACUCCUACGGGAGGCAGCAGUAGGGAAUCUUCCACAAUGGGCGAAAGCCUGAUGGAGCAAUGCCGCGUGAGUGAAGAAGGUUUUCGGAUCGUAAAACUCUGUUGUUGAAGAAGAACAUGCGUGAGAGUAACUGUUCACGUACUGACGGUAUUCAACCAGAAAGCCACGGCUAACUACGUGCCAGCAGCCGCGGUAAUACGUAGGUGGCAAGCGUUGUCCGGAUUUAUUGGGCGUAAAGAGAAUGUAGGCGGUUUAUUAAGUUUGAAGUGAAAGCCCUCGGCUCAACCGAGGAAGUGCUUUGAAAACUGGUAAACUUGAGUGCAGAAGAGGAAAGUGGAACUCCAUGUGUAGCGGUGGAAUGCGUAGAUAUAUGGAAGAACACCAGUGGCGAAGGCGGCUUUCUGGUCUGUAACUGACGCUGAGAUUCGAAAGCAUGGGUAGCAAACAGGAUUAGAUACCCUGGUAGUCCAUGCCGUAAACGAUGAGUGCUAAGUGUUGGAGGGGUUUCCGCCCUUCAGUGCUGCAGCUAACGCAUUAAGCACUCCGCCCUGGGGAGUACGAUCGCAAGAUUGAAACUCAAAGGAAUUGACGGGGGCCCGCACAAGCGGUGGAGCAUGUGGUUUAAUUCGAAGCAACGCGAAGAACCUUACCAGGUCUUGACAUACCAUGAAAAGCUAAGAGAUUAGUCUUUCCCUUCGGGGACAUGGAUACAGGUGGUGCAUGGUUGUCGUCAGCUCGUGUCGUGAGAUGUUGGGUUAAGUCCCGCAACGAGCGCAACCCUUAUUAUCAGUUGCCAGCAUUCAGUUGGGCACUCUGGUGAGACUGCCGGUGACAAACCGGAGGAAGGUGGGGACGACGUCAAAUCAUCAUGCCCCUUAUGACCUGGGCUACACACGUGCUACAAUGGUCGGUACAACGUGCUGCGAACUCGCGAGGGUAAGCAAAUCACUUAAAACCGAUCUCAGUUCGGAUUGUAGGCUGCAACUCGCCUACAUGAAGCUGGAAUCGCUAGUAAUCGCGGAUCAGCAUGCCGCGGUGAAUACGUUCCCGGGCCUUGUACACACCGCCCGUCACACCAUGAGAGUUUGUAACACCCAAAGUCGGUGGGGUAACCCUUCGGGGAACUAGCCGCCUAAGUGACACAUGCUUGUU
This 1477-nucleotide ribosomal RNA is filed under the name Companilactobacillus crustorum. Its description in RNAcentral is "bacterial SSU rRNA". It matches the Rfam family "Bacterial small subunit ribosomal RNA". The record is from RNAcentral. Lineage: Bacteria; Bacillati; Bacillota; Bacilli; Lactobacillales; Lactobacillaceae.